GUNUUGGANNCUGGGCGUAAGGGCACGUAGGCGGUGAAUCGGGUUGAAAGUGAAAGUCGCCAAAAAGUGGCGGAAUGCUCUCGAAACCAAUUCACUUGAGUGAGACAGAGGAGAGUGGAAUUUCGUGUGUAGGGGUGAAAUCCGUAAAUAUACGAAGGAACGCCAAAAGCGAAGGCAGCUCUCUGGGUCCCUACCGACGCUGGGGUGCGAAAGCAUGGGGAGCGAACAGGAUUAGAUACCCUGGNUAGUCCAA
This 253-nucleotide ribosomal RNA is filed under the name uncultured bacterium. RNAcentral's name for it is "partial 16S ribosomal RNA". It matches the Rfam family "Bacterial small subunit ribosomal RNA", at positions 554 to 798 of the family's 1533-position model. The record is from RNAcentral.